Molecule: ribosomal RNA, 575 nt
Filed under: Chelidurella thaleri
Lineage: Eukaryota; Metazoa; Arthropoda; Insecta; Dermaptera; Forficulidae
Description: Chelidura thaleri partial 12S ribosomal RNA
Rfam family: Microsporidia small subunit ribosomal RNA (bases 191-575)
Source: RNAcentral
GAGGGAACCAAUUUAAUUUUUAUAAAAACAGAAAGAAAAAACAAUUUUAAAUUCAAGAAAAAAUUUUGGAGCUAGACGGAUGAAAUCGACUAUUCCAGAUUAAAAAAAAUGUUGAAAAUACAGAAAAUCUUUCAAUCCAUUGGGUAGAAAAGGGGAUUAGAUACCCUCGUAUUCAAUAAAAAAAAAGUUAGUAGUAGUAGGGUGGAAUAAACCUGAAACUAAAAAAAAAUGGCGGUGUUUCUAGACCGUUCGGAGGAACUUGUCUCGUAAUCGAUGAUCCUCGAAGAGAAUCACUAGGGUUAUCCAAAGUUUGUAUACCGUUGUUGUCAGAAAAUUUUUAAAAAAAAAAUUCAUAAACUUUCUUGGUUCUAAGCAAGGAGGUCUAAGUCAAAUCAAGGUGCAGCUUAUGCCCUAGAGAGGAUGAGUUACAAUAACUAAAAAGUUACAACGAAUUAAUAUUUGUAAUAAAUUCAGGAAGGUGGAUUCGAAAGUAAUUUUUUUACCUUUAGGAAAAAGAAAUGAGUAAGGCUCUGAAACAUGCACACAUCGCCCGUCGCUCUCAAUCAAUAUUUGAG